UACAGAGGUCUCGAGCGUUAGGCGGAAUCACUGGGCUUAAAGCGUGUGUAGGCGGACUGGUAAGUACCUUGUGAAAUCCCACGGCUCAACCGUGGAACUGCUUGGUAUACUGCUUGUCUUGUGCAACCUAGGGGCGAGCGGAACAGAUGGUGGAGCGGUGAAAUGCGUAGAUAUCAUCUGGAACGCCAAUGGUGAAAACAGCUCGCUGGGGGUUUGCAGACGCUGAGACACGAAAGCCAGGGGAGCAAACAGG
This 253-nucleotide ribosomal RNA is filed under the name uncultured bacterium. RNAcentral's name for it is "partial 16S ribosomal RNA". It matches the Rfam family "Bacterial small subunit ribosomal RNA", at positions 524 to 776 of the family's 1533-position model. The record is from RNAcentral.